UACAGAGGGUGCGAGCGUUGUUCGGAAUUAUUGGGCGUAAAGGGCGCGUAGGCGGUGCGGUAAGUCACCUGUGAAAUCUCCUGGCUCAACUGGGAGCUUGCAGGCGAAACUGCCGUGCUGGAGUGUGGGAGAGGUGCGUGGAAUUCCUGGUGUAGCGGUGAAAUGCGUAGAUAUCAGGAGGAACACCAAUUGCGAAGGCAGCUCGCUGGGACGUUACUGACGCUGAGACGCGAAAGCGUGGGGAGCAAACAGG
This 253-nucleotide ribosomal RNA is filed under the name uncultured bacterium. Its description in RNAcentral is "partial 16S ribosomal RNA". It matches the Rfam family "Bacterial small subunit ribosomal RNA", at positions 524 to 776 of the family's 1533-position model. The record is from RNAcentral.